RNAcentral lists this non-coding RNA (27 nucleotides) under Cricetulus griseus (Chinese hamster). Lineage: Eukaryota; Metazoa; Chordata; Mammalia; Rodentia; Cricetidae. The record is from RNAcentral.
ACCUGUGUGUGGAGAAGCUGAAGAAUG